CUUUAACUCCUCAUCGUGGUUAGCAAGAGACUGUCCAGCGGGAAGAAGCAGCGGGCAUCAGCGCCAGACAGCAGCUGCAUUCAAGCAAUCCCGCCUAUUCGGUGCCGGAUUGGAAGAAAACAUGAGAGAAGAAAGAAAAAUCAUCAAUAACAGACAACAACUGCAUCAAAGCAAUACUGCUUACUUGCUUUACACUCAGGAAAAAGCACUUUAACUCAUCCUCCUACUUGUCCCUGCCAGCAGGUAGGGGAUCUUGGGGGGCAAUUACUGCACUGGUGGGGUGCAAAAUAAACUUUAUUAAGA
Mauremys reevesii (Reeves's turtle) is the source of this 303-nucleotide long non-coding RNA. RefSeq lists it as uncharacterized. The transcript has 3 exons. NCBI's taxonomy places the organism in Eukaryota, Metazoa, Chordata, Testudines, Geoemydidae. The record is from RefSeq and is a predicted model, not a curated record.